CCGUCUCUUCCCGACUAGUACGAGAGCCGUCCUCCAAACCCCCAACCGCUCUUCUUGGCAUUACGAGGACGUAAUUGCUAUCUUGACUCUCGCCGUCUCGCCGUCUCUUCAGUCCUCCACACUAUCUCGUCACGUCCGCGCGUUGUUUAUCGCGACUGACCGCUCUCUGCCCGUCGCGCAUCUCAUCUCCACGGUGCCUGGUAGAGACAUGCCCCGCCCCACGCGUCCACCUGCAGUGCUCUGACCACGCCCACUCGGUGACGGGGUCGGUAUAAAAGAGACGGGGAGGGGGCGAAUCGGCAUAUACACAGCAUUCGUCUCCCUCCACCCGUGGCCCCAUUUCUCUCGUUCUCCUUUUCCUCUCUUUUCUUCCUUACCCCCCAAACCCUGCCGCUACUACUACUACUCCUACAACUACAACUACUACUACUACUAUACAUAUUCAUGU
Caenorhabditis elegans is the source of this 448-nucleotide non-coding RNA. The record is from Ensembl. NCBI's taxonomy places the organism in Eukaryota, Metazoa, Nematoda, Chromadorea, Rhabditida, Rhabditidae.